Pseudopipra pipra is the source of this 14092-nucleotide long non-coding RNA. RefSeq lists it as uncharacterized. Lineage: Eukaryota; Metazoa; Chordata; Aves; Passeriformes; Pipridae. The transcript is spliced from 5 exons. The record is from RefSeq and is a predicted model, not a curated record.
CAUGUUUGGAAUAACAGCAUUUGUCUUCUGAGUCACUGCUACACAUGAUGGAGCCCGGCUUUCCUGGAGACGGUUGAACACCUGCCUGCCCAUGGGAAGCAGUGAAUUAAUCCCUUGAUUUGCUUUGCCUGUGUGUGCUUUUGCUUUCCCUGUUAAACUGUAUUUAUCUCAACUCACUAGUUUUUCACUUUUAGUCUUCCAAUUUUCUCACCCAUGCUAUAAUGAAGGUGUGUGUGGGGAUAAGAGAAUAACUGUGUGGGGCUUAUUUCCUGACUAAACAAGACCUCUCUGGUAAAAUAACACCAUCCAGAGGGGUCUUGACAGGCUUGAAGAGUUGGCCUAUAGGAACCUCUUAACAUCCAACAAGGCCAAGUGUAAGGUGGUGCACCUGGGUCAGGUCAAUCCCAAGUGUCAAUACAGGUAGGGAGAGAAAUGGAUUGAGACUUGGGAAUCCUGUUGGAUGAAAAAUUUGAUGUGUCUCGACAGUGUGCACUUACAGCCCAGAAAGCCAACCAUAUCGUGGGUUGGAGCAAAAGAAGCAUGGCCAGUAAACUGAGUGAUUCUGUCUCUCUUCUCUGCUCUGGUGAGACCCCACCUGGAGUGCUCUGUCCAGCUCUGGGUUCCUCAGCACUGGAAUGAUAUGGCCCUGAUGGAAUGAGCCCAGAGGAGUGCCAUAAAAAUGAUCAAAGGGCUGGAACACCUCAUAAGGAAAGGCUGAGAGAAUGGUGUCGUUCAGCCUGGAGAAGAGAAGGCUCCAGAGAGAUCUUAUUGCCACCUUUCAGUACUUAAAGGCAGCUUAUAAGAAAGAUGGAGGGAGUAAUUUCAGCAGGAUCUGUAGUGUUGGGACAAGGGACAAUGGUUUUAAAUUGAAAGAGACUAUACCUACGUUUGACAUAAGGAAGAAGUCUUCUACGAUGGGAGUGGGGAGGCAUUGGAACUGGUUGCCCAGAGGAGCUGUGAAUACCCCAUCCAUGGAAGUGUUCAAGGUCAGGUUGGACAUGGUGUUUGAGAAACCAGGUCUAGUGAAAAUUGUCUCUGCUCGUUAUAGGGAGCUUGGACUAUAUGAAUUUUAAAGGUCUUUUCCAACCCAAACCAUUCUCUGAUUUUUAACAUAUAUGCCAUUUAGGAAUGGGCUGAGGGAGAAGAAGGACCUAGGGCAAGACCAUCAGUAAAACAUUAGGCUACUGGCAUAUGGGACAUUCUUCAUCUCUCUUACUAACAUGUCUGUAACUGAAAAUAUGAUGGUGCCUCUUGAUUUAGAUGUAGGGAAAUUACAUACAAGCUAAUGGUGUUACUCUGCAUCUACACUUCUGCACAGACAACAACAGGAUUCAACUACUUGUACUUAAUCAUCCCAAUAAUAAUGGUUUAUAUUAUGAAUUCUAUCACAGUUUGCACAGAGACAGAUGAGCAGCGAUGGAUGCCUUUGGAUAUUAGAUGAGGAAUGGAUAUCUAUCAUACCAAAAUCUGGACAUUUUUAUAUUAAAUAGAUGGCAGUAAAGCAUUACACAGUUUAUCAUCCUAAUUAAAUUGUUGCAUUUUUAGUAUGGAAACCCUGAAAACUACAAGCCUUGAUCUAUGAUGAAUGAUGCAGUCAUUUUUGUACUGUAAAGUAAAUGCCUCUUCUUGCUGUGCAGUGCUAAUUUGAGGAAGGUUCAUCCUAGGCAGUCUAAGACAUUACUUUCUUGGCUUUCUAGUGUAGAAAUACAAUACCAAUAAGACAGUUCUACCAAGUAUUUUAACCUCUUUUUGUAAGUAGUAUAGUGAUCAUAGUUAUUGUGUAUGGUUUGAAUGAAAUUUUUCUGUCUUUCAGGUAAAAAGAAAACAAUUUUUCCAUAUAAAGACUAAUUAUGAAGUAUUGAGUUGGUCAUGUCAACAAUAUAUAGGUUUUGUUAAUUUGUGCAUCAGCUCGUGGAUUGCUGAUUGGGCAACAGCCUUGAAGGAUAGAAGGAUCAUUAUGUUUUAGUUCAGCGUCUUUGAACAAAAACAGCAUUAAAGCAAAGAGGACACUUAAAUUCCUUGUAAAAAACCCCUACAGAGCCAGGGAAACCCCUUUCAGAGAUCUAUCAGGUUCAUUGUCUGACUUGUUUAAUUUUUCCUGGAAAGUGGUAGAUAAGCAUGAUAUUUAUUUUCAGAAAUGAGAAACUUAUCAGUAACCUAAGAGUUUACAUGUUUGAGAACAGGCUAAUUGGGUAAAACAGCCUUAGAAAGGCAACGCUGUAUAGGAGCAAUAAAUAAAAUUUUGAUACAACUUAAUUAAAGAACAAGCAACUGUACAGAUUACAAUAAUUAAUACAUGGCCCGUGGUAAUGGAAAUACAUGAAGUGGUGGGUGGCUUUGGUUUGUUUGUGUUUUUUUUUUUUUGUUUCUUUGUUUUUAAUUAGGAAUGUAAUUUAAAUAUGUACAUAAGAUAUUUACUGACAUUGUCAGUGCACUAGUCUUGACAGUCAUUGAUCUAGAUACUUUUGGGCACUAAAAAUGCCAAAAGAAUUACCCAUACGAGACUUAGGAAUCCUAGAAGAUAUGAAGCCUUUAACAGCAAUUUUUCCUGGAAGUUUCUUAAUACAAGAGACAAAUAAUUCUUACAGAGUUCAAAAGGACUGAUUGUUGCAGGUUGCAAACAGCUUUUGGUAAAAACUCUGCACUGUUGAGAAUUAUAUGUUUUCUCUGACAAUUUAAAGUAAGAACACAUUUGAAGAGGGAAAAAAUAUGGACUUCUGACUCCAUAGGCUGUCUGAAUCCUGUGAAUCUAAAUUACUUAUUUGUACAGCAGUUGGGAGUUCCAGCAGAUUAUUUGCCUAAAACACAGCUAGGUCUUGUGACAGUGCCUUCCUCUUUGGCAAGUCAAAUGGGCUUUCUUCAUGUCAAGCCUCAACAUCCCCUGGCACAGCUUUGAGCCAUUCCCGUUUGUCUUGUCACUGGAUACCGGGGCAAGAGCUCAGCAUCUCCCUCUCUGAUUUUCCCCCUCAGGAAGCUGUAAAGACCAACAAGGUCAUCCCUCAGCAUCCUUUUCUCCAAACUAGAAAAAUCCAACGUCCUCACAGGACAUUCCUUACAGCCCUAUCACCAGUUUGGUUGCCCUCCUGUGGGCGCGUUCAGGGACCUUCACAUCCUUCUUAAAUUGUCGGGCCAGACAUCCUCGCAUUGCUCAAGGUGGGGCUGUGCCAGUGCUGCAAACAGCAGGAUAAUCACCUUGGACAGCUGUCUGUGCUGUGUUUGAUGCUCCCCAGGAUGGGGUUUCUCCAGGCACACUGUGACUCAUACUGGUCCCCCAGGUCCCUUUCUGCAGGGUUGCUCUGCAGCCACUCCUCUCUCAGUUUAUGUUUGUGCCUGGUGUUACUAAAUCUCAGGUGCAUUUGUACUUGUUCAGUUGGUGCCACUGACGAUUGCUGAAUGCACCAAACUAUCCAGAUCCAUCUGGAAGGCCUCUUUUCCCUUGAAAGUCAACAGCACCUCCCAGUUUGGAAUCAUCAGCAGGCUUACUAACAGUGCAUUUGACUCCUGGAUCCAGGUCAUUGGCAAAUAUAUUGAUUAUAGGCAAAUAUAUUGAACAGCACAGCCCCAGAAGUGAGCCCUGAGGAGCACUUCUGGUGACCUGUUGCCAGCAGGCUGUAGCCCCAUUCACUACAAUCCUUUGAGCUCUUCAGACAGUUCUUCACCCAGUGCACCCUGAACCUACUCGUUCCACAGCUGGACAACUUGCCCAGGCAGAUGCUGUGAGGGACAACACCCAAAGUCUUAAAAAGGUCCAGAAAAACUAUCUCCACCAGCUUCCUUUUUUCUACCAGGUGAUGAAGGUUCCCAUAUCUGUUCUUUGAGGAUGUCUGUGAAUGUGAAAUAAGACAUUAGAUUGCCUCCCCAUUGGUCACUGUCUAUGUCUGUCCCUUUUAGUCUGUGCAAAGUAAUUUUAGUGCUUAUUGUCUUCUCAGUUUCACCCACCUGAUUCCUGACAGAGUGUUUUGAGGGCCUACUGCUCCAUAAAGGAAGAGGAGCUGGGAGUCAAGCACAAUAAUAAGGCAGAUGAGAGCAGGGAUCUCACUGAAAAGGUGGUGGGAAGUGGACCAGCACGUCCAGGUCAGCAUCAGUGCCAGAGGCAGUGAUCAGGGUCUUACACAGCCCACUGUAUGUUCUGGGUGUGGACUAAUGGAUUUGGAGGCUUCUGUUUCUGACAGGCAUCUGCUGUUGAGUGGAUGCACUGGCAAAGUCUUGUUCAUGGCUUGUUCUUGGUCUUUGUUGCUGUUAGUGUCUAUUGAUAAAGGCCAUCACUACCAUUACGGGAAUCUUUGACAAACGAUGGUAUGACUCUUAAAUGAAGGGAGUCAGUAGGAACUUCCUGAAGACAACAGAUAUUUUGAGAGAUAAUACUAUGUCAACUGUGUGACCAUCAAACCUUGAGUAGGCAUCAGUUACCCAAGAAGCAGCAACAGCUUAAACCACUCAUUCUCACCUGUCAUAAAUGCUGUCACAUAUGAGGGUUUCUGAUAGGUCUUGGAGUAACCUUGUAUUCAGGGAGUUGUUGUUUCUGCUGUGGUUUCUCAUCUUUCUCAUUGAAGGCAAGCAGCAUUUCCUCACAGAACCAUCUACCAUGUUUUGGCCAAUGUGGUUGGCAUGCCCAUCACACAGGAUCAUGAGCCAUCCUGCAGCAUAGAAAAAACUGCAAAGAAAAAAGCAGUGUUUCUCUGUCUACUAGUCACAAAUGGCAUGUCUGAACAGCCUCUUUUUUUAAGAAAGGGACAAUUCCAUGCUCACCUCAUUACAAUGUUUUCCCUCUAAAUCUGGAGGAUACAAAAACUUUUAAAUUUACUUCUUACUCUGUGGGUCUUUUGCUUAGUUGUAAGGAAAAGCCCAAUUACCAAUGCUUCAGUAAUCACAUGAAGGAUUUCAUUUUAUGGAUGGUUGAACUGGAAAAUAAAAAGUCAUUACCUGUAAAAUAUCAUAAUUGAAUUCUUGAUGGCAGGGUCAAAUGCAUUUUUUAAAGUAAUGUUUAAAAGAGAUUAUAGUUUCAAAGGUGAUUUUUUUUCCCCAUAAUUUCCAAAUAUACUUCUCAGUGGAACGAGCAUUUUAUGAAGGUUAACGUGCUCUUUUCCAGUUCAACAGGUGCUGAAGCAUGUACUUUGCAACUGAAUACAUGAAGAGUUUACCUGUUGUAGAAGAAGCACAGAAACCUGAAUCUUGAGGAAGAUCUGAAUAUCAUGAUUUUAAAAUGCUGUCUGAAAGUAAAACUGUCCACUGUUGGAAAAGAUCUCUGGUCUUCUUUGAAAAAUGCAUGUAAAUAUGGCAUUUCUGCUCAAAAAAUUACUUUCCUGAAGCUAUUAAAUAUUGGGUUUUGUGAUUUUAGAAACUCGUUGUUGUUGCUACUUUAUUCAUGUUACCAGUGGAAAUAUAGAGAGAGAUGAGAGUAAUAUCUGUUCCCAUGUACCACCAAGAGAAUUAGAAGGGUCAUAGGGGUUAACAUGAAGAUUUCUAAAAGUAAUUUGGUAUAUUAAAAAUUUUCCAUAAAAAAGACAAGAUUCUCUUUCAGAGUCAAAUGUGUUGUGACUUACAUGAGUGCAAAUGGAAUGCAAAGAUGACUAAAAUAAUGCUAUUGGAGAAUUUUGUAUUGGUGUGGUAGUAAGAUAAGCAACUUACAAGGUGCCAGGUGUCAGGAAUGUUAGGGCUGACAGUCUUGUUGUGUUCUCUUUCUGAACACAGAUGUUAGCACAAGGAACUUUUCCUGGCAACAGUGUAAUGCUUCUUUACAUCUCUGCUAAUUAUAUUCCAAGCAAGAAAAGAAGAAAAAUUAAAUUGGCAGAGAGAGAGAGAGACUUCUUUAAGAUUCAAAGUUUUGAGCUCUUGUUUCACAUUCAUAAGACUGAAUAAGACUGACCAAAUCAAGCACUGUAUCUACAGGUCCAGAGCAAAUGUGGAGUAAUUUAGAAAUUACUUCAAAUUCAUAAGAGAACUGCAGAACAAGACCGUUUUAGGCUUAUGGGCAUAUUCUUCAAAACAAAAGUCUUUGUCUGUGGUGGGAAUAUACCCUUGAGAAGACUGGAGGAAAGCUCCAGAGAAGAAGAGGUCAAGCUGGCUGUUUGCUAACAUGAACACUGUCACUUCCCAAAGCAAUGGCAAAAUAAAUGCAUUGGGAGAAAUGUUCUCUGAGCCAUGGCCUGACAGCCUGAGUCUGUCAGUAUGUGACAGGAGCAUGUGAAGAAUAGUAAAAAUGAAAGCUGCAUACGGUUGUGUAUAGAGGUCAGCAAAUAUAGUAAGAUAAAGAGAUGCUGGAGUGCAAAAUGUCCAAAGCCUGUCUAGCAUGGUCAGCUUGUAUGAUUUUUGGCAGCUUUGUUCCAAGAUCCUGAUUUUUUUCGUUUGUUUGGUUUUAUUUGUUUUAUUGUUUGAUUGGUUGGUUUUGCUUGUAUUUUCUAACCUACAUCUUCUAAACUGCAUCUUCUAUAGUUAUACUUUUCAGAUCUACUUAUACCCAGUUCCUGACAGUGAAAAACAUGCUGUCUUUGGCAUAUUCAGACAAGGGAUGAGGUCCUCCUCUGUAUGGAUAUUUAUGAUAUUUAUGUUGGACAAACCUCCACUAGCUGGGCAUAUGGCAGUGCUAGAGGUCUGUUAAGAUCUGCCAGGAAAUGUCUUUUUGAGGGAUACAGUUAUAUUACAGUGUUAUUUUUACAGUAUUAGGGAACCAGCGUAUUCACAGCUUAACCAUUCAGUCACUAAAGCUAUGCAGUGGCAGUAAUCUAUUGUUUUGCAUUUCGAAGGUGGGUAGCAAACCUAUGGACAACGCUGAUGGCUACAUCAGAGUAAGCAUCAUGACUCCUCUCUCAACACACAUCUGAGCAAACACAUCUGGUUCCAAACCCAGGUCUUGGCUUGCUCAAUCAGUUCCUGCAGAAGAGAAGUGUAGCAAUCACAUAAAUACAGACUGGCAUAAAUGUAACUCUUAAAUCUCUCUCUCCUACCUCUUACUGAUUCCGAGGUCCUGUGGCAACUUUUUCUAUGUCUUGAUUCCUUACCUCGGCAGCCGAGGGAGGUGAAAGCUCCCAACAACUCCCACUCUGCUCAGCCCUGUGGGGAUACUUCCCUCCACACAGUAUUUAUACCCCUAAAUCCUUUUUUCUCUCUCACAUAUGCCACAAGUUGCAUCUUUACAUUCUCAUCACUCUCACUGAUCAUUUUGUGUGUUAACUCCUCUAGCUUUUUUAGCCUCUUCUAGGCCUUCCUAGUUUCUGCAGUCAUUCACGGACACAAAGGUUAGGAAAACUUCUGACAGCUCACUUGAGACAGCUGUGUACAAAGACUUUUUAGAAAGAGAGAUGGGUGAAUAAACAAAAUUCUUCCUUUUCUGGAUGCAUGGAAAUAUCAAAAUGUUAGAAAACCUCUCAUCAGGUGUGGGAAUAUUCAUUCUGUCCCAAACUGUUUCUCUUCAAGUGCUUUUCUCCUUCCUUUAUUGAGAAAUACUCAUUAAGUGUAAUUUAAUGUUAUUGCUACUUUCCCUCCUGUCUUUCCCUCUGCCUUGUGUUUGGGCAAGUUCCCAAACUCAUUAAUUAUGCAAAAUCCUUCCCCUGAGGUAAGCUUGAAAUUUAUUUAGGCUAAACCAAAUAAAGGCUUCAAAAGUAAAUACAGCCUUCAAGAUUCAGGUUUUUUUUUUUUUUUUUGACAUAUAUUUCUAUCAUUUUGGUCUGAGAAAUGAGAUGUGGCUCUGAGAAGGUUCCAAUAGUAAUUUCCAGGCUACAGUCUACUCAAAUAACUAACUCUGUGAAACAUGAGAGCUAGUACAAAUCUUCCCAAACUUGGAAAGAAAACAGUGCAAAGCUAAAGCUCAGUUGUAAAACAUUCAUGGCUGGCUUUAAGGUAACUGCCUGCCAGCACAUGAAAGGUUUGACUUGUAUCAUUUCUUCCCAUUAAUAGUCCUUCAAGAUGAAAAUAUAUACAGAAUGUGAAUUUCAGCUUAGUGCAUGGCUGUAUUUGACAGAACCUUUGUGCUGAUUGUGUGAGUUUAAUUUGAAAGCCAAUUACUUCUAAAAUUGCUUCUGCUUCUGCCCUUUUCUGUGGGCCGUGCUUGAAGUUUGCUUUAUUUUUACUAAUAUUUGAAAUAGAAGGGUACAUCAUAUGCUAGGCACUCAUUUCACAGUCAGAUUUGUUUCUCUUUAUAUGUUCUCAUACCUUUUUUCUUUUAUAACUCAUCUGAUCAAAAAGUACAAAUUAUUUUAUGCAAAAAAUGGCUUUUUAAGAUAUCUACUGUUGAACAAUUUUCUUCAAAAUCUAAAAGGAUUUUCUGAAAGAAUGUGUCUAAAUAAAGCCCUGUGAAAAUCCAUCUUGUGGCUUUACUCUGGAGCUGAGGAGGCAAACAGUGGCUUUGGGACAACAAGCCAAGUCAAACUUUCCUGGCUGUCUAUGCAGAUGAGGAUCUGAGGCUCCAAGAGCUGAAUCCCUGACACCAUUUGGCUACUGGCAUUCCUGUUGGCAGACAGCAGCUGUGAGUGCUAUGGGCUUCCAGGUAUUCUGUUGUGGAGCUGAAUUUCUGGGCUUGAAACAGUUGAUGCUAACUCCAGGCAUUCAAAUCAUGGAACCCAACAUGCCCCCUUGAACACCCAGAUACAAUUUCUGAGGAAAUUCUCAUGAUGAUUUUUCAGAGCAGCAGCAGGGUUCAGGUGUCCCUGAAAUGAGAUAGCUUCUUAUUUCAGCAUUUCUCAAGUAACUUUUAUGUAAAAUUUUGAGGUUUUGAAAAUGUUGAAAAUCCUCUCUUGCCUGGAACUACUUUUUUUUUUUUUUAAUUUUGAAAGAUGUAUUCUGCAUCUAAAGUUUUCUCCUACGUGCUUCUAUUUCUUCAUAAUCCUCAACUGACAAGAGCAGAAAAAUGUGUUGUGAUGUAUUGUUUAAAGACAGAUAAUGAACCUUGUCUCUUCACAUUUUACUUCAAAUGUAAUUUACUUUGUUUACUAGUGUCUUUGUCGUUAAAUGCCACUUUUUGAUCUUUUGAAUCAAUGGAUUUACAAUAUUUAAGGAAAUGAAAAGAGAUUAGGCUCUUUACAUCAACAGUGCUUCAGUGUGUUCUUACAAUGAAAACCUUCCACAUUACCUGAAUUUCCUGAAAUUACCUAAGUGUGUUUAUUUACUACUUCUGCAUUUUUAUGGCCUGUUUUGGGUUUCCUUUUUCUUAUCUUCAGAAAUGUUAAUUGAGGGAAAUUUGGGAAGUCAGAGGGUAGAUUAAUUUGCUUUGAGACAAGGACAAGUGAACUAAAAUAAAAAGAUCCCAAGAUAUUUAGCAAACAAUUUUGCAGAACUGGAAAAGUGCUUCUGAGGAAAGUCUCUUACCAGAGGUUUUUAACUGUCUUUAAAACUGGGAGGCUUUCUCAAAUACCUAUCUAAAGUUUGCAAAUAAAUAUUUUUCUGAGUCACAUCAUGUGUUGGACAUGGGGAACUUUGGAUCAUUAUGUUCCUCUUUGCAGCUUUCUCUGAAUUAUCAGAAUGUUUUAAUGGUCAGUCUCCAUGUUCCUUGUAGACUAAGCCCAUUUCUUCCAGAUUUUUUUCUUGGCUGCUGUUUUCCCUGCUUCUCGUAACUUUUGUUGCUCUCUUCUGAACUGUCUCUAAAUAAUGUAUUUUUCUAAGUGUGAUUUGGAAACAAGAUGAAAUACUCCAGCUAAAGCUCUGCCAGCACUAAGUUAAGCAGAAUAUCAGCUGCUGUGUUUUACGUACAAUAUUGUGAAAUGAAAUUUGCCCUUUUUUAUCAUAUGCUAUCUUGUUUACAGAUUUUACAGAAUAUUCUGAGUUGGAAGGGAUCCACAAUGAUCACUGAGUCCAACUCUUAAGUGGUCUAUAUGGAGAUCGAACCCAUAACCCACAACCUUGGUGUUAUUAGCACCAUACUCUAACCAACUGUUCAUUCAUCUUCAGUUUUUCAUACAUUCCAGAUAUCUUUCCUGAUUCUGCAUGUGAUUGUUCCCCCAUAUAUGUAGUACUUUCCACUUUGCUGUGCACUGUUAUCAUCUAUUAAUUUUCACUUCUGAUCACUCUUUUUGGUAAUUUUAUCUUGACGACAUUUCUCUUCUCACUUUGGUUCUGAGAAUACCACGUAAGGCUAUGUUAAAGCCUAUCUAAAGUUAAGGCACGUCACACCUAGCCCUGCCUGCUGAGACAAGACAAUGAUGGAGGGGUAAGUAAUUUUGACAACUGAAUAAAGUAAGGCUUGAAUACUGUUCAGCAGUGUUCUCACUCGAGGAGUAUCAGGUCCCUUUGUAUUUGCUUGGUGUUGACAGCCGGUGGGAAGGAAGGGCAUACCUGAACAGGCAUGAGGUCCUGGCUCCAUGGCCUGGAUGGGUCAGGCUCCAGGUGCUCCUGAGUUGAUACUCUAAGACUCCAAGCCCUGGGACCUGUCAGCUCAUGGACUUGGCUAGGAGUUUUACUUUAAUAUAUAGAUAGAUAUAUAUAUAUACCUCGAGGUAGCAUCAGAAGAAUAAGCCACAGGCUUGUUCCCAAGAAAUUUCCUUAGUAAUUUAGGGGAGCAAAUAAGGGAACUUGGCCAAAGUUCAAAAGGACACCACACAAGCUAGACAAAAAUGUUCCACCAUAUCACUGACGCAACAUAUACUAUUAAUCCACAACAUUUAAGUCAAAAUCCAAUAAAUCAACACUUAAAUCAAGAUCCAAUAAAUCCACAACACUUAAGGCAAAAUCCAACCAAUUCCACAAUCCAUAAAUCAUGAUCCAAUCCCUCCAGCUCCAAGCCACCCUAAGCAUCAAGAAAGGAGCAAAGAAAAAGAAGCAGAGGGAGCAAGAAGAAAGAAGGAGAAAGAGGGAGCUCCACUGAAGCCUUGUAGAAGACCAGCUCUCACAAAUCCAACAGCAGGGCCAUGACACGGGGCAAACACAUGCCUAUGGUUUUAUCUGCUCUGGUCCCUGUGGCCAACCCCUCCAGGUGGGGUCUCUGACCCACCAGCCACUCUGGGGGUUCCAGGCCCAGGUGAGAGGCAGUGUCCUCACUGUCCCUGCCAGUCGGAGGCUGGGUGGGGGGCUCCAGGAGCUGUGGUGUGUUAUAGUUUUCCUGGGUUGUUUGUGACACACAACUACUCUGGGGCUUCCCCAUGUGGCUCCAGGGGCUGCCAUGAGGGACAUGACAGCACCUCACCUCCAUGGGGUUCCACUCACUGCUUCCCCCUCCACACACACAUACUCACACACACACACCACACACACACACACACACACUCCCCACAAGGUGGUUCUGAACGAAUAAUAACUGAUCUGGUGUCUAACAUACUCCUUAGCCUGCGAUCUGCACUACUGGCUUUGAGUACACCCUUAUCAGACAGAUUAGAUCAAGGCUUUUCAAUCCUUUUCAGGUUGCAGUCAAACACUCAAAGGGUGUGCUCACUUGUGCAUAAUGAAUUUAAGACUUGUAACAUGGGGUUUCUUUUUUCCAGUAGAGCCAAUAUGUUGGAAGUAGGACUACUGCUUUAGAGAACCCUGUGAGAUCUGGAGCUUAGUCCAAAAUCACUUAUAAUCUCUCUUGCUUAAGUCUUCUCUUUGGCCAUUUAGUAGUGUUAGUUGCUUUCAUCUGGAUUCUGAAAAAAUAAAAGAUCACACUUUUUAAAAAAUAAGGGUUUAUUUUCCAUGUAAAAAUAUGCAGAGAAAAAAACCCCUUCUGUUUCAUAUUACUUGAGCACGACAGAUUGGGUAGGCAGUCUUGCUUUGGAUGGUGAGAACCACCAAAACCACAUAUACAGCCAUUGAAAAAUGUGGCAUGAGCAGUCAUGGACUCUUAGCACUGGGCUUUGAAAAUAGCUAUGGCACAUAUGGCUUAUAUGUGCAUGAGGAGCAUGUCAACAUGCAUCCUGACAGAUGCUGUGGUGGCUCCAGAGGAGGAGCCCUUUGCACCCCUUGGUGGCCAGAAAGAGCAAGAGUGUGCUGGUUAGGGCUGAGGUGCAAGUGGUCACCAUUCUUUUCCUUAGUGCCUUCCUGCUGGGACCAGGAGAGGUCCUUUCAGCACCAGGUUCUACUUUUUCCUACUCCCUGUCCUCUCCUGCUGUUAUUGUAGCUGUUAUCCUGGAGGUGUCUCUCCAAAGCUCAAGGCCCUUAGGCAGCCACCUCCUUUCCCUCCCCCCCCACUUUGCUUCCUGCAUUGUUGUAGAGUAGCUGAGAUGGUGCAAGUGUGCAGGUGUAUUGAGGUGGCAUGGAGCUUGCACUGGGCACACUGCUGUGCUGCUAACCAACCUGCAUUUGUUGAUAGCACUACUUUGUUCACUUCUGCACAUUUUCCUUACACUGGCAGCUUUCCAAACUGCAUGUUUUCAGUUAGAUAAUUUUCCCUUGUUUCUGUAUAAAAUGCUGUGCAAAAUGAUGAUGCCAUAGACAAAUUCUGAUCUUCCAAAAAUCUGCUUGUCCUUUGGGACAGGGAUGUAUGUGUGGCAUUUAUUUACCCUACAGGACUUGCAGAUGCAGAAAUUCUGUUGUAGAGAUGACUGGAUGAAGUGUACAUUCUCAAUUUAUUUUUAGCCCCCCAAGCUGCAGCAUUACUGUUACAUGUUGCUUGAAUAAAGCUUGAAUGACCCUGAUUAGAUGGUAGGAACUCCUUUGUGGAGUUAUGGCAGCACAAUUAAUUUAAAGUAGUUUGGUGGUGACAAAAUCCUAGUAUGAAAAUUUUGUCUUAGAAUUACUCCUUGGCCAUAAGGCAAACAUACUGAGCCAUGUAUUUUUUAUUAAAAAAGAAAAAAGAAAGUAAAAAAAAAAAAGGAAGGAAAAAAAAAUUGUAGUGCUGCUAAUGGCUUUUUACUCCCUUCCAAGGGCAAACUGUUCUUACUUUUUCAAAUUUCAUUGUGAUUGUGGCUUUUCGAAAAUGUUUGUUUAUGGCUGGUUUUUUUUCAAAAACUGUAUAGACAGUGUGGAAUUUAAAUCUUGAUUUCAAAGUAUGGUAUUUAAAUCAUACCUCAGUGAACUAAGUCAGUGUUUGAGUUUUGAUGUGCUUGAAAGGUGACAUUGGUGACAACGUCUAGAAACGCUUUCUUUGCCCACAUGACAAGAGACUGUAAAGAUUUCCUUGAUAAGGCAACAUAAUUUCUGUCCAUAUGACAUUAUUAUUAUUAUUAUUAUUAUCUUAAUUAUGAUUAAUUUUUAUCGGUGCAUUGAAAAACUGAUUUUUCAUCUUAGUGGCUUUCUUCUUAUAAAUUUUUUGUUUGCUGCUAUUUUGUUGUGAUAGUUCUCAGUGGCAUAUUGUCCUUCUCAUGGUAGAUGCAGCAACGAUGGAAAGAGUCCCAAAUGACUUUUCUCUACUCCUUGUUAUGCUGAAAGUGGUCUUAUGGCUGCAGAGCACAAGAUCUGGAAGAGUCUGGUGGAGAGAAUAAACGUUCUCCAUAGAAGCAAGAAUAUUGAUGGGCUGAAAACUUGUUCCUCGGCCAUCCAAAACUGGAAGUCUUUUGUGAGCCCUUUGGCAGGUGAACAAAAAAGGAUGUUGCAUGCCUCAUGAGCAGCUAUUAGUUGUAGGCUGGAGUACUUGGUUCUUCUUUAGUUCAAAUCUCAAAGAAAGACAACUCUAGAAAAUUUAAAGUCUACAGGAAGAGAUCAACUAUUCAGCAAAUGACAUGGAGAGUACACUAAAUACUGAUGUCUCUGUACUGCAACCACUGCACUCAAAAAACUCCUGCUGAAGUGAAAAGAAUUUUGAAUUCAAGUUUUUAUUUUGAGGUCUGCUAUUUAGUUUUUCUUUGACUUGUUUGAAGUCAAGAAUUUUAAAUAUUGUCUUGGUUUUGAGAUUUAUAUUCUGUUGCAGAUAAACUGAUGCUGGACAAUGUAGCUGGUUUUGAACAGCCCGCAUUUAAAGAUAUUGCACUUUAGUUCAUAACUUAAUUUGUAAUUAAAACAGGCUUGUUUGUGAAGCCAAUUCAAAUUAUAAUUCUGGCUCAGAAAUUUUAAGGGUGUUUUGGUGGGACACUGUGACUCAGGUGUAUAGUUAUAAAAAAGAAAAACAGAAAAAUAAUGAAAAAUUUUAGACAAGGCACUGAGUAAAGGAUUUUAUUUUUGUGUACUGAACAAGACAUAACAAAAUGCAAAAGCUAGUACUAAAAGCUGUAACAUGGAAGUAUUAAAUAAAGAAUGAGUGUUAAAUUAUAUCACA